Molecule: ribosomal RNA, 278 nt
Filed under: uncultured Christensenellaceae bacterium
Lineage: Bacteria; Bacillati; Bacillota; Clostridia; Christensenellales; Christensenellaceae
Description: partial 16S ribosomal RNA
Rfam family: Bacterial small subunit ribosomal RNA
Source: RNAcentral
GCAGCCGCGGUAAUACGUAGGUGGCAAGCGUUAUCCGGAUUUACUGGGUGUAAAGGGUGUGUAGGCGGAGAGGCAAGUCAGAUGUGAAAUUUACGGGCUCAACCUGUGAACUGCGUCUGAAACUGUUUCCCUUGAGUGUCGGAGAGGUAAUUGGAAUUCCAUGUGUAGCGGUGAAAUGCGUAGAUAUAUGGAGGAACACCGGUGGCGAAGGCGGAUUACUGGACGACAACUGACGCUGAGACACGAAAGUGUGGGGAGCAAACAGGAUUAGAUACCCC